CAAUGGGGGAACCCUGAUGCAGCNNCGCCGCGCUGAGUGAAGAAGUAUUUCCCNUUAUGUAAANCUNUAUCAGCAGGGNAAGAUAAUGACGGUACCUGCACUAAGAAGCUCCGGCUAAAUACGUGCCAGCAGCCGCGGUAAUACGUAUGGAGCAAGCGUUAUCCGGAUUUACUGGGUGUAAAGGGUGCGUAGGUGGCAGUGCAAGUCAGAUGUGAAAGGCCGGGGCUCAACCCCGGAGCUGCAUUUGAAACUGCAUAGCUAGAGUACAGGAGAGGCAGGCGGAAUUCCUAGUGUAGCGGUGAAAUGCGUAGAUAUUAGGAGGAACACCAGUGGCGAAGGCGGCUCACUGGACUGUAACUGACACUGAGGCUCGAAAGCGUGGGGAGCAAACAGGAUUAGAUACCCUGGUAGUCCAAGGGCGAAUUC
This 426-nucleotide ribosomal RNA is filed under the name uncultured bacterium. RNAcentral's name for it is "SSU rRNA". It matches the Rfam family "Bacterial small subunit ribosomal RNA", at positions 369 to 808 of the family's 1533-position model. The record is from RNAcentral.